UCAAUGCUAGAAGAUAUGCGCGAAAAAUAAAACGGUCGUUUUUAAGGCGAUGUCGUGCCUGUAUUAAUGCCGGUGGAAAACAAUUCGAACAUUUACUUUAAUGUUGUGUAAUUAAAAUAACAAACACAUUUUUGGAACAUAGUAAAAUUUAUUACUAACAACAAGAACAAUUAAGAAAUUUGGUUCUUGUUUACAAAUGGUACGCAUAUUUUUUUUUGUGACUAGUUAUCCUAGGGUAUUAUACUAUUUUGAAAUCUUGAUUAGUUGCGUCAACUUUGAAAAUAACUUGCCAUAGCGGUGUUCAUACUUUUUUUUGCAAGACCAUGAGUCAAAGUAGACUGAAAGUAAAAAUCUUUAAAAAUUUGAGGGAAAAAAAAUAUUUUGAUAUUUUUUUGUGUAAAAACUGCGGGCAUUGUGGUGUUUUUAAGAGUUGUGGUGAAUAGUAGUACUACUUAGGUUCCGAUACAAAAAAAAUCUUAAGCAUAUUUAAGAAAUUGUAGCUGCGGUAGUUCAAAAUAUCAUACAAGGUGUAAAUUUUCAAAGAAUUUUAAAAUUUAUUUUGUAACUAAAAAAAAAAUUUAGGUAUAUUUUUUUUAUUAUUUUUCCUUAAGUGCUCAUGAGCAGGUCAAUCUUUUGGCGCCCGCUUAUCGUUGAAUUUUGGGACACGUUGUAUAAUAUUUAUGUAUUUCGAUCGGUAAGUCAGUUAGGUAUAGAUUAGGUCUAGGUUUUACAGAAGAGGACAGAAAGAGAAUCGAUAGGCCUAGUUCGGACUUCGAACUAUUCUUACUCGAGUACGAACGAUUUUUGAGCGGUAAAUUCAAAAGUUGUUCUUACUCGACUAAAAUACUAAAGUAGUCUGUACGGCCUUUUAGAGACAGAAAUAAACGUCUAUAGCGGGUUUCCACAAGGUUCAAUAUUAGGCCCAACAAUAUUGUAUCUAUAAAUAAGUACUUAUAAUAAAUGUGUACCAGGCUCAAUUAUGAAGAUAUUUUGAAAUUUUUUUUUGCAGAGCAUUAAAAAAACUUACCUAACGCCAAAAAUAUUUUUUUAUUUGUUUACUGACUGUCUGUAUUUUGUUGAUCAGGCAUCACGCUGAAACUACUGAAUGCAUUCAAAUUAAACUUGGCAUGAUUUGAGACCAUGAUACAAAUAAGGUAACAGAAUUCUUUUGUCGAGAAUAAAAUCAUAAGUGAAAGUUUAUAAGUUUAUAUGGAAAGUCCUUUAUUUUUCAAGUUACGUUUGUAAAAAAAAUUGGUAUGUGAACUACCAGAAAAAUGUUAAAAAUAAUGUCAUUCAAGAUUUAUAAAAAUCUACCCAUAUUUAAAGAGUUAGAAAUACAUUUUAAGUAUAAUAGGUAAAGUCCUUUUCAUGAAAGGAGUCAGACGCGGCGCUAAUGUCAGUGGCGUUCAUUGUCAUUUGGUAAUGACGGUCUUAUUUUCAUUAUUUUGUGUAAUGGCGUUGUCAAUACUAUACAAUAAUUUUAGCCGCGAAACUCCUUUCAUGAAAACUUUCUAUUAUCUACGUUUAUCACUUUUUAAAUAAAUUAUUUAGAAAUUAUUUAGGCAGUAGGUAUAUAGAUAGUGUUAAUUUAUUAAAAAGUUUGAAUAUUGUACUUAUGUUUGUAUUUUUGAAGAUAAAGAUAAUUAAAGUAGGGUAAAUCUAGGAUGCAACGUCCAAACUGGGGCCUAAUUGUCUAACGGAGUUCAUUGAUCGUAAAGUUCAUACGAUCGGCUACGAUCAACGAUCAAUCGUAACUUUACAUUGGUAUUGUCUAAUUUAGUUCAUUAUAUGAAGACCGGAUGGUGAACGAUGAACUGAAAUCAUUCAUGAAGAUUGCGUAUUGUUUAUGCAAAACGAUAGUGAAACUAUCGUUAAUAAUAUUAUCAAAUUUAAGUCAAACUUCAUAAUAAUGCAUAUAUUUUAACAAAGUUUUAUGUCUUUUGUUUAAAACAUUAAAGAAGCAUUAAAUUUCACGAAAAAUAUCUACUAUUGAAGAAAAUAGCGUGAGAAAAUGGUACAUGCAACUCAAGUAACAAAACGCAAUUAACGAAUUUAACCAAGGGCUAUUUGGACUAUUUGGUAAUCUCCCUGUUGUCUGUGUAGGCUAGUGUCAAAAUAACGGGGUAUCCUAUUAGUCUGUGGUGAAACAUAGCAUAUUAAUAACCUGUGGAUUAUAAAUUUUAAUUUAACCAAACAAAACAAAAUUUUUAUUUUUCAGGUUUUAAAGAGAAUUUAGAAAUUGAGCAAAGUUUUACUAAAUUAUUGUGAUCUUCGGAGCAAAGUUUACUUCGUUUGUGUUAUUGUUAAUCAAAAAUAUAAAAGAAAACUACCUCUAUCUAAUUUUGUCGAUGUCCAUUUCUUAAGAAGUUUCUCAUUAAAACAACCCUUAACUCAGGAAAGGCAGGGCUAAGGUGGUUAGCGUAACUACAAGUGGUUAACUUACAGUUAGCCAACUGAAGAACAAUCAACAAUGCCCGAUUAAUAAGUGAUCGCGCUGCUUGUCUACUACAUGUCCCUGCACUAGUUAUAGCAGUAAUUUCUUUGUUGGGAAGUAUUUAGCACAUCCGGGCUGCGCAAAAGGAGAGGACUAAAUUGAUUAUUAUGAACAGACCAUUAUGAUGAACCACUGAUAUUGACUCGAGAGACAUGAAGAUGAGUGCUUUGACAACAAGACUGACUAGCUGAGCCAGCUUAAGAAUUAUGUGGUGUGUGUGUCUAAUUCCAGGAGCUCUCUAUGUCAGCCAUCCAUCUAUAUUCUUACUCAUUUUUGUUAAUUAUAAAAUAAAUUUGA
Long non-coding RNA from Bicyclus anynana (squinting bush brown), 2791 nucleotides. RefSeq lists it as uncharacterized. The record is from RefSeq and is a predicted model, not a curated record. The transcript has 2 exons. NCBI's taxonomy places the organism in Eukaryota, Metazoa, Arthropoda, Insecta, Lepidoptera, Nymphalidae.